This 679-nucleotide ribosomal RNA is filed under the name Xylariales sp. ES116. RNAcentral's name for it is "LSU rRNA". It matches the Rfam family "Eukaryotic large subunit ribosomal RNA", at positions 91 to 827 of the family's 3401-position model. The record is from RNAcentral. Lineage: Eukaryota; Fungi; Ascomycota; Sordariomycetes; Xylariales.
GAGUGAAGCGGCAAUAGCUCAAAUUUGAAAUCUGGGUCCGAGUUGUAAUUUGUAGAGGAUGCUUUUGGUGCGGUCCUUCCGAGUUCCCUGGAACGGGACGCCAGAGAGGGUGAGAGCCCCGUACGGUUGGACGCCACCUAUAUAUAGCUCCUUCGACGAGUCGAGUAGUUUGGGAAUGCUGCUCUAAAUGGGAGGUAAAUUUCUUCUAAAGCUAAAUACCGGCCAGAGACCGAUAGCGCACAAGUAGAGUGAUCGAAAGAUGAAAAGCACUUUGAAAAGAGGGUUAAAUAGCACGUGAAAUUGUUGAAAGGGAAGCGUUUGCGACCAGACCUUUUCCAGGGAUCAACCGGUGUUCUCACCGGUGCACUUCCUGGUUAGGCCAGCAUCGGUUCUUUGAGGGGGAUAAGGCAGGGGGAACGUAGCUCUGGGAGUGUUAUAGCCCCCUGCAUACCCCUCGGGGGACCGAGGACCGCGCUCUGCAAGGAUGCUGGCGUAAUGGUCGUCAACGACCCGUCUUGAAACACGGACCAAGGAGUCGAACAUUUGUGCGAGUGUUUGGGUGUUAAACCCUCACGCGUAAUGAAAGUGAACGGAGGUGAGAGCGGCGCAUCAUCGACCGAUCCUGAUGUCUUCGGAUGGAUUUGAGUAAGAGCAUAACUGUUCGGACCCGAAAGAUGGU